Long non-coding RNA from Mustela erminea (ermine), 406 nucleotides. RefSeq lists it as uncharacterized. The transcript has 3 exons. The record is from RefSeq and is a predicted model, not a curated record. NCBI's taxonomy places the organism in Eukaryota, Metazoa, Chordata, Mammalia, Carnivora, Mustelidae.
CUGAUAACUCUUUCUGCUCAUUAUCAGCUUGGAGCAAUGAAGAGUGGCUGAGAAAUAUCUUAAAGAGAAUGAGAACAGUCUUAGGAGGCACCUCCUUCAAGGAAAAUCCUGGCACAGCCAUCAGGUGACGGUAAAGCCAAGAGAACACAAAGAAGUGUAUGAGACAUAUUUGACAAAAUCACCCAGCAGAAAAAGACAAAAGAUAUGGAAGACAUUUCACAGAAGAGAAAACACAAAUGGGAAACAAAACACAAAAAGAUACUGAACCCUGUUAGUAAUGAGAGAACUCAAAUCACGGUAAGAUACCAUUUCACACUUAACUGAUCAGCAAAAAUUAAGACAUCAAGAAUACCAAGCAUAGGGAGGAGUCUCAAGAAAUAGGUAGCAAAGAAUCACCAAUCUAUCU